GGUUAAGCGACUAAGCGUACACGGUGGAUGCCCUGGCAGUCAGAGGCGAUGAAGGACGUGCUAAUCUGCGAAAAGCGUCGGUAAGGUGAUAUGAACCGUUAUAACCGGCGAUGUCCGAAUGGGGAAACCCAGUGCAAUUCGUUGCACUAUCGUUAACUGAAUACAUAGGUUAACGAGGCGAACCGGGGGAACUGAAACAUCUAAGUACCCCGAGGAAAAGAAAUCAACCGAGAUUCCCCCAGUAGCGGCGAGCGAACGGGGAGCAGCCCAGAGUCUGAAUCAGCUUGUGUGUUAGUGGAACGGUCUGGAAAGUCCGACGGUACAGGGUGAUAGUCCCGUACACCAAAAUGCACAGGUUGUGAACUCGAAGAGUAGGGCGGGACACGUGGUAUCCUGUCUGAAUAUGGGGGGACCAUCCUCCAAGGCUAAAUACUCCUGACUGACCGAUAGUGAACCAGUACCGUGAGGGAAAGGCGAAAAGAACCCCGGCGAGGGGAGUGAAAAAGAACCUGAAACCGUGUACGUACAAGCAGUGGGAGCACCUUCGGGUGUGACUGCGUACCUUUUGUAUAAUGGGUCAGCGACUUAUAUUCUGUAGCAAGGUUAACCGUAUAGGGGAGCCGCAGGGAAACCGAGUCUUAACUGGGCGUUAAGUUGCAGGGUAUAGACCCGAAACCCGGUGAUCUAGCCAUGGGCAGGUUGAAGGUUGGGUAACACUAACUGGAGGACCGAACCGACUAAUGUUGAAAAAUUAGCGGAUGACUUGUGGCUGGGGGUGAAAGGCCAAUCAAACCGGGAGAUAGCUGGUUCUCCCCGAAAGCUAUUUAGGUAGCGCCUCGUGAAUUCAUCUUCGGGGGUAGAGCACUGUUUCGGCUAGGGGGUCAUCCCGACUUACCAACCCGAUGCAAACUACGAAUACCGAAGAAUGUUAUCACGGGAGACACACGGCGGGUGCUAACGUCCGUCGUGAAGAGGGAAACAACCCAGACCGCCAGCUAAGGUCCCAAAGUCAUGGUUAAGUGGGAAACGAUGUGGGAAGGCACAGACAGCCAGGAUGUUGGCUUAGAAGCAGCCAUCAUUUAAAGAAAGCGUAAUAGCUCACUGGUCGAGUCGGCCUGCGCGGAAGAUGUAACGGGGCUAAACCAUGCACCGAAGCUGCGGCAGCGACACUAUGUGUUGUUGGGUAGGGGAGCGUUCUGUAAGCCUGCGAAGGUGUGCUGUGAGGCAUGCUGGAGGUAUCAGAAGUGCGAAUGCUGACAUAAGUAACGAUAAAGCGGGUGAAAAGCCCGCUCGCCGGAAGACCAAGGGUUCCUGUCCAACGUUAAUCGGGGCAGGGUGAGUCGACCCCUAAGGCGAGGCCGAAAGGCGUAGUCGAUGGGAAACAGGUUAAUAUUCCUGUACUUGGUGUUACUGCGAAGGGGGGACGGAGAAGGCUAUGUUAGCCGGGCGACGGUUGUCCCGGUUUAAGCAUGUAGGCUGGUUAUCCAGGCAAAUCCGGAUAAUCAAGGCUGAGGUGUGAUGACGAGGCACUACGGUGCUGAAGUAACAAAUGCCCUGCUUCCAGGAAAAGCCUCUAAGCAUCAGGUAACAUCAAAUCGUACCCCAAACCGACACAGGUGGUCAGGUAGAGAAUACCAAGGCGCUUGAGAGAACUCGGGUGAAGGAACUAGGCAAAAUGGUGCCGUAACUUCGGGAGAAGGCACGCUGGUGUGUAGGUGAAGUCCCUGCGGAUGGAGCUGAGACCAGUCGAAGAUACCAGCUGGCUGCAACUGUUUAUUAAAAACACAGCACUGUGCAAACACGAAAGUGGACGUAUACGGUGUGACGCCUGCCCGGUGCCGGAAGGUUAAUUGAUGGGGUUAUCCGUAAGGAGAAGCUCUUGAUCGAAGCCCCGGUAAACGGCGGCCGUAACUAUAACGGUCCUAAGGUAGCGAAAUUCCUUGUCGGGUAAGUUCCGACCUGCACGAAUGGCGUAAUGAUGGCCAGGCUGUCUCCACCCGAGACUCAGUGAAAUUGAACUCGCUGUGAAGAUGCAGUGUACCCGCGGCAAGACGGAAAGACCCCGUGAACCUUUACUAUAGCUUGACACUGAACAUUGAGCCUUGAUGUGUAGGAUAGGUGGGAGGCUUUGAAGCGUGGACGCCAGUCUGCGUGGAGCCAACCUUGAAAUACCACCCUUUAAUGUUUGAUGUUCUAACGUUGGCCCCUUACCGGGGUUGCGGACAGUGUCUGGUGGGUAGUUUGACUGGGGCGGUCUCCUCCCAAAGCGUAACGGAGGAGCACGAAGGUUAGCUAAUCCUGGUCGGACAUCAGGAGGUUAGUGCAAUGGCAUAAGCUAGCUUGACUGCGAGCGUGACGGCGCGAGCAGGUGCGAAAGCAGGUCAUAGUGAUCCGGUGGUUCUGAAUGGAAGGGCCAUCGCUCAACGGAUAAAAGGUACUCCGGGGAUAACAGGCUGAUACCGCCCAAGAGUUCAUAUCGACGGCGGUGUUUGGCACCUCGAUGUCGGCUCAUCACAUCCUGGGGCUGAAGUAGGUCCCAAGGGUAUGGCUGUUCGCCAUUUAAAGUGGUACGCGAGCUGGGUUUAGAACGUCGUGAGACAGUUCGGUCCCUAUCUGCCGUGGGCGCUGGAGAAUUGAGGGGGGCUGCUCCUAGUACGAGAGGACCGGAGUGGACGCAUCACUGGUGUUCGGGUUGUCAUGCCAAUGGCACUGCCCGGUAGCUAAAUGCGGAAGAGAUAAGUGCUGAAAGCAUCUAAGCACGAAACUUGCCCCGAGAUGAGUUCUCCCUGAGACUUUAAGUCUCCUGAAGGAACGUUGAAGACGACGACGUUGAUAGGCCGGGUGUGUAAGCGCAGCGAUGCGUUGAGCUAACCGGUACUAAUGAACCGUGAGGCUUAACCUU
This 2902-nucleotide ribosomal RNA is filed under the name Klebsiella pneumoniae. RNAcentral's name for it is "23S ribosomal RNA". It matches the Rfam family "Bacterial large subunit ribosomal RNA". The record is from RNAcentral. RNAcentral also lists the same sequence under 1 other name. Lineage: Bacteria; Pseudomonadati; Pseudomonadota; Gammaproteobacteria; Enterobacterales; Enterobacteriaceae.